RNAcentral lists this small RNA (26 nucleotides) under Bombyx mori (domestic silkworm). RNAcentral describes it as "ovarian small RNA-4129". The record is from RNAcentral. Lineage: Eukaryota; Metazoa; Arthropoda; Insecta; Lepidoptera; Bombycidae.
UUGAUGGAUUUUAAAGGUAAUCGCGG